GCCCGAGUGGCGGAAUGGUAGACGCAGCGGAUUCAAAAUCCGCCGGCAGCAAUGUCGUGCGAGUUCGAGUCUCGCCUCGGGCACCA
Molecule: transfer RNA, 86 nt
Filed under: Boseongicola sp. SB0665_bin_10
Lineage: Bacteria; Pseudomonadati; Pseudomonadota; Alphaproteobacteria; Rhodobacterales; Paracoccaceae
Also listed under: 1 other name
Description: tRNA-Leu
Rfam family: tRNA
About the family: Transfer RNA (tRNA) molecules are approximately 80 nucleotides in length. Their secondary structure includes four short double-helical elements and three loops (D, anti-codon, and T loops).
Source: RNAcentral